UACGGAGGGUGCAAGCGUUGUCCGGAUUUAUUGGGUUUAAAGGGUGCGUAGGCGGCUUUUUAAGUCCGGGGUGAAAGCCCGUUGCUCAACAACGGAACUGCCCUGGAAACUGGAGAGCUUGAGUACAGACGAGGUUGGCGGAAUGGAUGGUGUAGCGGUGAAAUGCAUAGAUACCAUCCAGAACCCCGAUUGCGAAGGCAGCUGACUAGGCUGUAACUGACGCUGAGGCACGAAAGCGUGGGGAG
Molecule: ribosomal RNA, 245 nt
Filed under: uncultured Hymenobacter sp.
Lineage: Bacteria; Pseudomonadati; Bacteroidota; Cytophagia; Cytophagales; Hymenobacteraceae
Description: partial 16S ribosomal RNA
Rfam family: Bacterial small subunit ribosomal RNA
Source: RNAcentral